Molecule: ribosomal RNA, 253 nt
Filed under: uncultured bacterium
Lineage: Bacteria
Description: partial 16S ribosomal RNA
Rfam family: Bacterial small subunit ribosomal RNA
Source: RNAcentral
UACAGAGGGUGCAAGCGUUGUUCGGAAUCAUUGGGCGUAAAGGGCGCGUAGGCGGCCAGGUAAGUCGAAUGUGAAAGCCCAGGGCUCAACCUUGGAAGUGCAUCCGAUACUGCUUGGCUUGAAUCUCGGAGAGGGUGGUGGAAUUCCCAGUGUAGAGGUGAAAUUCGUAGAUAUUGGGAGGAACACCGGUGGCGAAGGCGACCGCCUGGACGAAGAUUGACGCUGAGGCGCGAGAGCGUGGGGAGCAAACAGG